Molecule: long non-coding RNA, 466 nt
Organism: Zea mays
Lineage: Eukaryota; Viridiplantae; Streptophyta; Magnoliopsida; Poales; Poaceae
Exons: 2
Source: RefSeq, a predicted model, not a curated record
AUGAUUAAUUUGCUAGAUGGUCCGAGCAGUGGAUCCGAGGCAACUUCCUCUGCCGUGAAGGAUCUCCAGUCGAAGCUAGAUGUGGUUACUGCAGAAUGCUUGACUGAAAAGGAGAAGAACAAGAAGCUGACCAUGGAGAACGAGAAGCUCCAGUACCGCAUGACCCAUCUGAUCCGUGCGAUAAAAGAGGCGUAAUCGAGAUAGGAGCAGCCCGGCGAGGCCGAUUCAAAGCCUGAUGUCGAAGUGUUCCCCACCCGCCUUGCUGAUCCUUCACGUUGUUCCUGCAUCAACCUCAAGCUAUCAUUGUGAUCUUGAGUUAGAGCUUGGUCACAAGUCAAGACUGUAUUAUCAAACUGUCGAUUGAAAAUGAUGAUGUGUGCACAACUUUCUGUCUUCACCUGACCCCAUCUCGAAGGGCACAUUGGAACACAAAAUGUUAUCUGAAAUGGCAGUUCAUAUUUUGAAA